RNAcentral lists this ribosomal RNA (324 nucleotides) under uncultured bacterium. RNAcentral describes it as "bacterial SSU rRNA". It matches the Rfam family "Bacterial small subunit ribosomal RNA", at positions 29 to 334 of the family's 1533-position model. The record is from RNAcentral.
AGCGAACGCUGGCGGCGUGGAUUAGGCAUGCAAGUCGAGCGCGAACGGAACUUCGGUUCCAAGUAGAGCGGCACAAGGGUGAGUAAUGCGUGGACAAUCUACCCUCGAGACUGGAAUAACGGCGGGAAACCGCCGCUAAUGCCGGAUGGCCCUGCGGAGAGACAUCUCUCUGUGGGUAAAGGUGGGGAUCUCUUCGGAGACCUGCUGCUCGGGGAGGAGUUCACGUCCUAUCAGCUUGUUGGUGAGGUAAUGGCUCACCAAGGCUUCGACGGGUAGGCGGGCUGAGAGGCCGAUCGCCCACACUGGGACUGAGACACUGCCCAG